GGAGGAAUACCCAAGUCCGGCUGAAGGGAUCGGUCUUGAAAACCGACAGGGGUGUGAAAGCCCGCGGGGGUUCGAAUCCCUCUUCCUCCGCCA
This 93-nucleotide transfer RNA is filed under the name Bacillota bacterium. RNAcentral's name for it is "Firmicutes bacterium (gut metagenome) tRNA-Ser". It matches the Rfam family "tRNA". Rfam says of the family: Transfer RNA (tRNA) molecules are approximately 80 nucleotides in length. Their secondary structure includes four short double-helical elements and three loops (D, anti-codon, and T loops). Lineage: Bacteria; Bacillati; Bacillota. The record is from RNAcentral.